Equus asinus (donkey) is the source of this 1914-nucleotide long non-coding RNA. The record is from Ensembl. Lineage: Eukaryota; Metazoa; Chordata; Mammalia; Perissodactyla; Equidae.
AGAGCAUCCCGCGUCGCGUCCUCCCCACCCCGGCUCCGGCCCGCCCGCCGGAGCCCGGCCCGCGCCGCUGGCAGCCAUCAAGUGGCUCGUUAAGGAAAUGCAGGUGAGUGCGCGCGGCGGACGGCGGCUGCUGGAGACGUGGGGUGUGUGCCUGUGUGUGCGGGCGGGAGGCCGUGCGGGAGCGGCCGGGGAUGCUCGCCGCCUCUGCUCCCCGCCCCGCCGCGCCCGCAGCCGGCGGCCCGAGCGCGUGCGGCCGCGCCUAGCACUGACAGCCGCUCGCCUCCUCGCCGUCUCGCCGGCCUCUCCCUCCUCGCUCCCCUCCCAGCCCGAGCCCUCCCGCUGCUCCUCCUCCUCUUGCUCAGCCUCCUCCCCUCGCGCCGCGCUGACAGGCAGCCUCGGCGGGGAGAGUGCAGUUUAUUCUUGGCCUGUGUGGAAUAGAAAGACAAUUCUUUCUCUGACUGGUAGGAAAGAAAAGAGAAGACUCCUCAGGGUUUCCAAGGAGGACCGGAGCGGCUGCUUUAAUUUCAUUGUUCUGGAAUUGUUACCUAUGGAAUCCCACCUAUCCAUCCUCAUCAAUCCUUCCAGAAGGAUGAAAUUCUUGGAAACAUUCAAGGCACAAGGAAUGAGUAACACUUCUCCUGAAGCAGACUAAGAGAAACAAGAAUAACAGUGGAACUGAGGAACUAGAUAAAAGGUGGAAGGUAAAGCAUGGAUUUCCUGACCCAAGAGCCUCAAUUUGUUGCUGCCCUGCAAUCAAGAUGAACACAUAGAUCGUGAGACAUUUUUGUGAGAGACAAAAAACCUACUUGCUUUAGCCAUUCCUCUCUUUCUGAGGUUUGCUUGGCAAUUCAAUCAUUGAGUGUCUACGACCAGUGAAAGCACCUCCUCCUCUACUGAGACACCGUGAAUGUUAAAGAACCUCAGUCCCCGUUGCCAGUCAAUAAGCAGGGAAGAAAUGGGUUGUCUUAAAAUUUGGGAGACUCUUUUAUAGAGAGAGUAGUGAAAGAGAAUUGAGUUGAAGAACAAGGGUCAUGGACCAGGAGGGCAGCUAGCGGAAACUAACCCAGAGUAACCAGGAAUGAAGAGACUGGGUGUAAGGCAUUUCUGGUGUGAAAACAAAAUAAGAAAGUUUUGGAUUGCAUCCUCCAAAAUCUCCCCAUAGAUUUCCCUAAAAUAAGUUUUCAGUGAUGUACCUCCUUGUACUUAUGUAGUUUGAAAUUUUUCCCAUAAGAUGAAACAGUGACAAUGAAUAUCAUUUCUAACACUUAUAAACUGCUUAUUUAAAAACUAUUAUACCUCUAUUUAAAUGUAUCCAAUAAUAUGGUCACAGUUUAUCCAUAUGAUACAAUCAUCUUCAAAAUAGGUGAACAAGCUAUAAUUGUCAGAAAUUGUACAUUUUCUCAUUUAAUUUGUGUUUCUUUUUAUUUCCCAAUAGAAUUUUAUCAGAAUGAAAUAAAAUAUCUUAUUCUUGAAAAUCUUAGUCAUUGUUGAACUAUGGACAGUAGUGUCCCUUUAUUUUGGCCUCAGGUCUUUGCAUCAUAGAACAACGUUUUCCAAAAGAACAUUCUGUGACGAGGGGAAUUUUCUAAUCUGUGCUGUCUAAUACAGUAGCCACUAGCCCCACAUGUGUCUAGUGAGCACUUGAAAUGUGGGCAGUGGGACUGAGGAACUGAAUUUUUAAUCUUAUUUAAUUGCUGCCUCUACCUUUCUGUGACAUGUGGGGGCAUAUUUUUAUCCGUAAUUUUCUGUUAUGAUUUCUAGAAUGGAGUUUGUUUCCUCAAGAAUCUGCAGUGAGAUAAUAAACGGACUGCCUAAAGCAAGAAGUAAAGAACAUCACACUAGAACUAUGUGAUUAAGAAGCUAUAAAUCAAUUAUAGACUUGCUGGUUUUGACCUGAAAUCCUCUAUGUUAUUG